Molecule: long non-coding RNA, 1502 nt
Organism: Leucoraja erinaceus (little skate)
Lineage: Eukaryota; Metazoa; Chordata; Chondrichthyes; Rajiformes; Rajidae
Exons: 3
Source: RefSeq, a predicted model, not a curated record
CAUGUCUGGUCGGGUCGGGUCGGGUCGGGUCCGGGGGGUAGUUGGUGGGGGUAGCAGCCUGGGCCGGCCGGCCAGCCAGCGAUGUUGGGCGAGGGUUUCCAAGCUCCCUGCCCCCCUCGGGCCGGCUGUCGCUCUUCCGCUUUCUCCGCCAAAAUGGCGGCGCCGCCUCGUCAGGUGAUUCCAGCCCAGCCGAGGGGUUAAGAUUUCACAUUCCAAAGAAAAGUUUCGUAAUCACGCACAAACUAGGACAUGCUGUUUUACCACAGCCUGGGUGGUGAUUCAGUUAUUGUCUAGUAGAACACAUGACCCUCUCACCUGUCAUACUCCAUGAUUCACGCUGCAUCAGAUAUUAACGUUGCAUUAAGGUAAUGGUCAGAGGUUAUAAUAUGCCAUAGAAAAUAUACAACAUUGGAAGAGGCUAGUGUGUCUGCACAGGUGCAAGAAAACAAGCUACUCAUCUGUAGAUUAUUUUGUUGGAUGUGUAUAAAGACAAGAAAUAAAGCCAUGGUUUUUUGUAUAAAUAUAACAUUGAAGAUGAAUAACACCUAACAACUGCAACUGAUGCAGCAUAUAAUGGAGUAUAUUAUAUGGUGCAUGUAGUUCUUAAAUAUAUAUAUAUAAAAUAAUGCAUAUCAGCAGUCAUGCCACCCUAUCAUCUCCAAAUUCAUGGACCUAGGAAUCUGCACCCUCCUCUGCCACUUUCUGAUCCACAAUCAACAAUUAGUGAUGAUAAGUGACAACACCUCAACUAUAAUAAUUCUCAACAACGGUUCCCACAACGAUGAGUUCUGUCUCUUACUAUAUUCCCUUUACACCUACACGUAUGGGCAAAUCUGGCACUAAUUUCAUCUACAUGUUUGCAGACAACACUGUGGUGGGCCGAAUCAUGAACACUGACGGAAGGAGAUAGAGAAUAUAGUAACAAGGACAACAACCUCUCCCUCCAUGUCAGCAAGACAAAGGAGCUGGUUAUCAACUUCAGGAAGCGUGGUAUCGUGCACGCCCCAAUCAUCAAUGGAGCCAGAUUGGAAAUGGUUGAGAGCUUCAAGUUCCUUGUCAUUAAUAUUAGCAGCAAUCUGUCAUGGACCAACCACAUUGAUGCCACCAAGACGGCGCACCAACUACUCUACUUCCAUUAGAGACUGAGGGAAUUCAGCGUGUUUGCAAUGACUCCUACAAGCUUCGGCAGAUGCACCAUAGAAAGCAUACACUUGGGUUGCAUCACACCAUGGUUUGCGAACAGCUCUGGUUUGCGAACAGAAGAAAAUACAUUUCAAUAUGAUCUACUUAAUUUAUCCAAUGCAAAUACAGUGUUAAUCCGUAGGGCAACUUGCAAGAGGUCCAGAGUGUGAUGGGGUAUGUGUUCGCAGCUGGGUUUCUGGGGUGUGAACCAGGAGUGCAGACUGAAGACAAGCCGAAACUCACCUUGUUCCAUUUCCCACUCGCUUUGUAUUACGACUGUGUAAUAUGAAAAGACUGAAAUAAAAGACUGUUGGACUGUU